This 354-nucleotide transfer-messenger RNA is filed under the name Gammaproteobacteria (g-proteobacteria). RNAcentral's name for it is "g AEGEAN-183 X2 Standard tmRNA". It matches the Rfam family "transfer-messenger RNA". Rfam says of the family: Bacterial tmRNA, also known as 10Sa RNA or SsrA, is named for its dual tRNA and mRNA-like properties. Its role is to liberate the mRNA from a stalled ribosome. The record is from RNAcentral. Lineage: Bacteria; Pseudomonadati; Pseudomonadota. RNAcentral also lists the same sequence under 1 other name.
GGGGGCGAACUGGAUUCGACAGCAGUUACAAACCCACGAGUGCAUGUCGAGAAGGUAGUAAUUCUCGUAAAUCAACUACUACAAACAUGUUAGUUGGCGAAAACGCAGACUACGCUUUAGCAGCUUAAAUUGCUAACUGUUUUAACUUGGUGUCCGUGCCAUUGUUAACACAGACGAUUUCACGGACUGCAGAUUUUGUAAUUCUCAUUUGCAAUUUCUUAAGUAAAUUUGAGAUAGCCUAAUAAGCCCUGUUCAUCGGGCCCUAUUUAGGCAAAGUUAAUAGAUGAAACUAAACAUGUAGAUCUUAUGGCAGAGUACUGAUGGACGCGGGUUCAAUUCCCGCCGCCUCCACCA